This is a small nuclear RNA of Arvicanthis niloticus (Nile rat), 104 nucleotides long. Lineage: Eukaryota; Metazoa; Chordata; Mammalia; Rodentia; Muridae. The record is from RefSeq and is a predicted model, not a curated record.
GUGCUCGCUUCAGUAGCUCAUCCACUAAAAUUGGAAGGAUGCGGAGGUUAGCACGGCCUCUGUUCGAGGAUGGCAUGCAAAUUCGGGACGUGUUCCAUAUUUUU